CCUCCUGUUACCCAGAGCUGUUUUUUCCUGAACCAAGAAGCCUCCGUAUAAAAACAAGAUUUUGCAUUGAUGAAGAAAUCACAGUGUGAAUGGGCAUUAUGGGAACUGUUUGCCUCCUGGGAUUAGGCGAGAAUUUUUCAUGAUACAAGGGAUGACACUAUCAAGCAACAUAAAUAUGCUCUUUUUACCCCUUCCUCAGAAAUUAUGCAAGAGGGAAAGACUUACAGACCUGGUCCUUCGACUCUCAGCUGGAUGUGAGGACUGUAUUAGAAGCAAGGAACGUGCACAGCAUAGCAGCCUUUCAGAGAUGGCUCAGCGUGGGACUGGGCUCUGGACCUCACAGUCCCCCUGAAUGGAAGAGGUGGUGUCUGGUUAUGAACAGCCCCUGCUGCUCAUUCUUCCCCCAGAGAUGGAUUUUCUAGGGCACAUCUCUGACCUCAAGUCCUGCUGGAUAUUUGGCUUUGCUCCCAAGAAGACAUCCCUUCGCUGGGACUUCUUUCUAAAGAGUUAUCAGUUUUUACACCAACCAACUGCUCUUAUAUUCGGAAUCACUGACCAGAUUCCCAGAGGACACAUUGCUCUUCAGGUAGAGUGGGAUAAGUACAGCAGCCCCAGCUGGUCUGGCUACAUCUAAGCAUGGUGAGGUAGCAGGUAUGACAUGGAAUGGCAUGGCAUACAUAGAAACAUUAUGACUGCUCUUUAAAACUGCAAAAUAAAUAAGAAAUAAGGAAAUUAUAUUGACUUCAAUUCAAUGCCUCUUUCAUGAACUGGGUCUCCUCUUUUGUAACUCAGUGUACUGUUUGUCCCUAUAAAUAUCUCAGUGAUCCAGUAUGAAAAAAGUGUACAUCAGAAACAGGAGGAUUUUGUCUUCCUUGUAGCUCACCAAGAAAGUAUGAUUUACAGCAAGAGCAGCAUUGUUAUACAUUUAAAGCAGGUAGUCCUUGUAGUCAGCAAGUUGUGAUGAUAAAAUACGAGUGCUGCCUCCAUAUUCUCUACGGUACCAGCAUGCAGGCUGCAGCCCCAGCCCAGGCAGCGAGGACAGCCAGCACGAGAGGCGGGAGGGAAGCAGCACAGGAUUGCCGUGUCUGUCCUUGGACUCGACCAGCGUUCACAACGCCUUUCGUAUUGUCCCCCCCCCCGUCCCUGAGAGCUGCUUGAAGUUUUAGGUGGGAGAUUUUGGGACUAAUAUGUCUGCAAUGAUAGCUCUGUGUGCUGGGUAUUAAUGCACUUGUUAUCAUAGAUACCUCAGGUUUUGUUGCUACCGUAAGUGCUCUUUCAAGAGGAGUUAUUGAUGUUUACAGGCAUGGCUUUGCAUACAGAGUUUCAGGCCAUUGAUGGUCUUCUCUAUUAGAAGAUAUAAAGGAUAACUUUGACCAACAACAAAUCAUAACACUUCCAUUCCUGCUUCAGCUCCAUGCUAAUUGUCUACAGUGUAGUAAGAGUCUCUGAUAACAGCUUUUCAACUACGUAAAAAUAUCUGUUCUGCUUUUUGGGAUCUGCUCACUGAAAAUAUCUGUCUUCCUGGAGACUCUUAGGAGAAACCUUAUAAUUUCACUAUUGCCUUAAUUUGUAUUUGAACAUCAAGCUAAGAAAGAUUAAACUACGCACAGCCUAUGCACAGAUUGCAGCUAUGGACAGAUUUAAGGCUGGAAAAAUAAUCACUGACUCGUUAAAAAGCUUAAUUCAACUCCAUUGAACAAGAGAACUGGGAUGUGUCGUUUCUUUCAGGAGCUCCUUUCCAAGCUCCCAUGCAGAUAAGGCAAUUUGCUCUCACACUGGAGCACAGGUGAAAAUUUGUUCUUGCCUGUAGCAGCUGGAUAUGAGCACUGUAUUACAAGGCCUGUAUUGAAAGUGUUCACACAGCAGAACUCGUCUUGGAGGGAGGUUUCAGAGAGGGCUGGGCAGGCAAACUGCAGAAAACUAAAAUAAAGAGAAGAACACUCAGCUAGAAAUUUCUGUUUAACACUUUCUGAGUGCUGGAUUACUAUAAAGGUCAGACUCUAAAGGAGGAACCUUUCCUCUGGAAAGAAGGCCUGAUCUUUCAGGGCAAAGACACAGAACUGGGCAGUAGUGCGCCCGGAGGGAGCCUGGAGCAGGACAGCAGGACAAGGGAAAUCUGUCCCUCCCAGUGAGCCUACUGGUGCAUGGCACAGCAGUGUCACUCUUGUCUAGCAACCAUCCGAUGGACUAAUGCCUACAGUGGCGCUUAAAACACUGUCUCUUCAAAAGCUCUCAUUUCUUAGCUUGCACUCUGGACUGUUUUUAUUUAGGGCUAUUGAGAAAGAUGAAGAAAAUGCAUUAAAUACUUAAAACUUACUAAGUUGCAAAGGAAAAUAACAUUGCUAAACCACAUUUUCCUUGUUUUCUCCCACCUGUGUUUGUCUUGCCUGUUUUGACUGUAGGUGUCUUUGGAGCAAGUCCCACUGCUAAUCUGUGUUGACAUUUCCUUGUAAAAAUGAACUUUCUUUUCCACUGGAACUUAGACACUUUCUUUACUACACACAGCUAGGAAUAUAAAAGAGAAAGCAUGUUCACACAACUUUUGGUCUAGUUAGCAUUACACAGGAAUUUGAUAGAUCAAGGCAAAUUCAAUAUUCUUCCUUCGGUUUUUUAGUCUGUUAGAGUACAGAUGCUGCAAUGUGAGCAGGCAUCAGUGUCACACGGUGGAAACUUCAAGAUGAGAGGCUGUAAAGAUAAACUCUAUCUUGGCAGAGAAGGUCUGAAGGAAUUUUCAUUCCCUCAGAUAUUCUAGGAAAAGUGGGAUUCAUCCCACCUGACUCUUAGCACUGAUGUUAUAGACAUGCACCUCCGGCUAUGUAGGCACCUUUUGGAGUUAAAGGAAGGAAAUAGGCAUUUCAACAGUACAGCUUAUUGCCCCUGAUUUUGACAUCUACCUUAGGAACUGUGAUUUGGAAUUUCUUUUCUUCUUACAAGGUGGGCCUAGACACCUAGUUCAGAUGUAGAUGCUGAGACUGGGAAGGUCUAAAGCUGAACAGAGAAGUCUCACUUCAGCAAUGUACGUACCAGCCCCUGUAUAGUUUGGAAAAACAUAUGUAGGUUGUGGGAGGGAACGCUUUGGAAGAGAAACCAUUAUAUCAAUCUAUAUGUCCACUGUGGGUAUGCUACAUAUGUAGCUGUGCAAUAAGCGAUACUGUUAAUAAAGAGAAGGUUUAUUCCUACUGACAUGGAAUCCAUAUGGUACAUGAAUAUGAUGCCAGUGAGAUCCACAGGACACGAGGAAAUGUGAUUAACUGCUAAACACAAUAACCUGGAAAAAGAGCAAAAGAGCUGCACAAUCCCCUCUCCAGAAAUUAUCUUGGCAUUGUUCUAAUGACCCCUCCGAUAUUUCACAGACCUUGAUGACACCCGUGAUCUCUUGUACUCUCCCUCUCUCCAUGGCGUGUUAUGGUUGUUGGUCUUCUGCUAUUAUAUCUGCAAGAUGCUGCAAGGUGGUGAAAAACUCUUUCAGCCUGAGUGAAGCAGAUGUUCUGUUGAUCAUUCUGGGUGAGCUGUUGAUCGCAGGGGUGGGUGUUUGCUCUUGGAAAAGGCUGGACAGAAUUAUACUGGUGAUUCCUUUGAUGUUGCUAGCUCCUGAUGUUCCUAGCUCCUGGAAGAGAGGACAGAUACCAACAAAAUAUUGCCCUCAACAUCCAGCAUAAAUGUUGUUACAGGCAGUGCUCACACCAGGAAAAAACUCAGCCUAUGAACAGCAGGAAAGGGAUAAAUAACCAUGUAAUGUCUGAUUGUGUCAGGUCCCAGAAGGGGAAAAAAUCAGCAAUGCUUGCAGAGUCUAAAGGCAUGGAGCUGCCCAGUGGAGAGAAGGCUUUCUACCACCAUGCUGUGGACAGGUUUGGGGACUCAAUUACCAAGCACGGCAGAAGAAAGAAACUAGCCAUUUGCAGCUAUGCUAUUAGACUGGUGACCAAUUAUAUCCCAUCUAGAUUGUAUAACAGCUGAAAGAUAUUUCCAGUAACACUGGUAAGUCAUGAUAUUAGGCAGAAGAUGUAUGACCAAGUGCAGGCAACAUACAGUCUAAACCAUUUUGACACGAGUGGGAAAUGCACAUUGCUGAAGAGAAACCAAUAAACAUAAGCCGUUAUCACUUGA
This is a long non-coding RNA of Falco peregrinus (peregrine falcon), 4107 nucleotides long. RefSeq lists it as uncharacterized. NCBI's taxonomy places the organism in Eukaryota, Metazoa, Chordata, Aves, Falconiformes, Falconidae. The record is from RefSeq and is a predicted model, not a curated record. The transcript has 4 exons.